This is a long non-coding RNA of Homo sapiens (human), 2565 nucleotides long. Ensembl annotates it as long intergenic non-protein coding RNA 836. The record is from Ensembl. NCBI's taxonomy places the organism in Eukaryota, Metazoa, Chordata, Mammalia, Primates, Hominidae.
AAUAAAUAUGUCAAUUUAAAUUAAAUGACAUAUUUCAAAAUUGAUCCAGGAAGUAAUAUUGAAUCAGAAUACCCUGUAUCUACCAAAGAAAUUUAAUUUACAAUAACUAACAUUCCCAUAAAGGAUACAGUCCUAGGCAGUUACAGAUGGUGAAUUCUAUCAAACACUGAAAUGACAAAAGAAUCAAUCUUACCAAAACCCUCACAAAAUAGAAAAAGGAACACUUCCCAACUCAUUUUAUGAGGCCAGCAUCACUCUGAUACCAAAAUCUGACAAAUCAGAAAAGAAAAUUUCAGAAAAUGUCUCUCAUGAACAUAGAUGCAAAAGUUCUUAACAAUAUUAGAAAAUCAAAUCCAGCAGUAUAUAAAAAUAAUAUUACAUCAUGACCAAGGAGAGUUUAUCCAUGGAAUGCAAAGCUGAUUUAACAAUAGAAAACCACUCAGAUAGUUCACUACAUUGACAGAUGAGGGAGGAAAAACAACACGAUUAUCUUAAUAUAUGAACAAAAACAUUUGACUAAAUUAACGUCAUUCAUGACAAAAACUCAUAGCAAAGUAGGAAUAGAAGUGAACUUCCUCAACGUCAUAAUGGUCAGUACGAAAACCACUACUGUUAACAUACAUGAUGAAAUAUUGAACUAUUUCCUUCUUAAUUUGGAGGAAAAAAAUCAAGAAUAUCUGCUCUCACCACUUCAAUUCAACAUUAUACAAGAGGUUAGAGCUACUAAAAUAAGGUAAACUUAAACAAAUAAACAAUUUUAAAAGAGACAGAAGGAAGAAAGGGAGGCAGGAAGAAAGUUUGGAAAGAAGGAAGUAAAACUGUGUUUGUUUGCAGAUGAUGUGAUAUUUAUGUAGAGAAUUAUCAGACCUCUGAGCCUAAGCUAAGCCAUCAUAUCCUUUGUGACCUGCACGUACACAUCCAGAUGGCCGGUUCCUGCCUUAACUGAUGACAUUCCACCACAAAAGAAAUGAAAAUGGCCCGUUCCUGCCUUAACUGAUGACAUUAUCUUGUGAAAUUCCUUCUCCUGGCUCAUCCUGGCUCAAAAGCUCCCCUACUGAGCACCUUGUGACCCCCAACCCUGCCCGCCAGAGAACAACCCCCUUUUGACUGUAAUUUUCCUUUACGUACCCAAAUCCUAUAAAACGGCCCCACCCCUAUCUCCCUUCACUGACUGUCUUUUCAGACUCAGCCUGCCUGCACCCAGGUGAAAUAAACAGCAUUUUUGCUCACACAUAGCCUGUUUGGUGGUCUCUUCACAUGGAUGCGCAUGAAAUUUGGUGCUGUGACUCGGAUCCGGAGACCUCCCUUGGGAGAUAAAAUCCCCUGUCCUCCUGCUCUUUGCUCCGUGAAAAAGAUCCACCUACGACCUCAAGUCCUCAGACCCACCAGCCCAAGGAACAUCUCACCAAUUUUAAAUCAGCAAAAUGACAUGAAUGACUGAAAAAGCAUGUGGAGCACAAGACUCAAGAACUAAGUGAAAGGACUCACACUUCCUGAUUUCAAGUAAAGCUACAGCAAUCAAGACGUGGCAUUGAUGUAAGAAUAGACACAUCAAUGAAUGAAACAGAAUACAUCUUCCAGAAAUAAAUUCACACAAAUAUAGUCAAGAGGUUUUUUGUGUGCUAAAGUGUAUAUAAUAUUUACCAUUUUAACCAUUUUUAAGUGCACAGUUCAGAAGCAUUAAGAAUAAACAAUGUUGUAUAACCAUCACCAUUAUCCAGUUCCAGAAUUUUUCAUCACCUCACACAGAAACUCUGUACCUAUUAUCAACAAUAAAUUUUCAUUCCCCCCUUGCCCUCAGUCUCUGGUAACCACUAUUGAACUUUCUGUUUCUAUGAAUUUGCCCCUUCUCAGUGCCUAAUAUGAGUGGAAUAAUACAAUAUGGGUCCUUUGUGCCUAGUUUAUUUCACUUACUGUAAUGUUUUCAAGGUUCAUCCAUGUUAUAAUAUGGAUCAGAAUUUUAUUUCUUUUCAAGCAUGAAUAAUAGUCCAUGGUAUGUCUAUACCACAUUGUUUAUCCAUUCAUCAGCUGAUGGAUAUUUGGGGGUUGUUUCUAUCUUUUGGCUAUUGUAAAUGAUGAUGUUAUGAACAAUGGUGUAUAAUGUCUGUUUGAGCACUGCUUUGAAUUGUUUGGGGUAUAUACUUAGGAGCGGAAUUACUGGAUCAUAUGUCAAUUCUAUGUUUAAUUUUUGAGGAACUGUCGAGCUGUCUUUCACAGCAGCUGCAUAAUUUUACAUUCCCACCACAAUGCAUAAGAGCUUCAGUUUCUCAAAAUCUUUACCAACAUUUAUUUUUCUUUUUAAAAAUAUAUAAUAGCCAUACUAAUAGUAUAAAGUAAUAUUUCAUUGUGCAUUUGAUUUGCAUUUCCCUAAUGAUAACUGAUGUUGAGCAUCUUUUCACGUGCUUGUUGACCAUUUGUAUAUCUUCUUUUGAGAUAUGUCUAAUCAAGUCCUUUGUCCAUUUUUUAAUUGGGCUGGGUAUUAUUCUUCUGUUAUUGUUGAGUUGCAGGAGUUCUUUAUAUAUUCUGCAUAAAAGUUCCUUAUCAUAUAUUGAUUUUCAAAAUCUC